Molecule: ribosomal RNA, 253 nt
Filed under: uncultured bacterium
Lineage: Bacteria
Description: partial 16S ribosomal RNA
Rfam family: Bacterial small subunit ribosomal RNA
Source: RNAcentral
UACGAAGGGGGCUAGCGUUGUUCGGAUUUACUGGGCGUAAAGCGCACGUAGGCGGAUCUUUAAGUCAGAGGUGAAAUCCCAAGGCUCAACCUUGGAACUGCCUUUGAUACUGGGAAUCUUGAGUCCGGGAGAGGUGAGUGGAACUGCGAGUGUAGAGGUGAAAUUCGUAGAUAUUCGCAAGAACACCAGUGGCGAAGGCGGCCAACUGGUCCGAAACUGACGCUGAGGCGCGAAAGCGUGGGGAGCAAACAGG